AGGAGAAGUCGUAACAAGGUUUCCGUAGGUGAACCUGCGGAAGGAUCAUUGUACACACCGAUCUCGGAAAAACC
RNAcentral lists this ribosomal RNA (74 nucleotides) under Cheilolejeunea holostipa. Its description in RNAcentral is "Cyrtolejeunea holostipa partial 18S ribosomal RNA". The stretch from base 1 to 51 matches the Rfam family "Eukaryotic small subunit ribosomal RNA", at positions 1781 to 1831 of the family's 1831-position model. The record is from RNAcentral. Lineage: Eukaryota; Viridiplantae; Streptophyta; Jungermanniopsida; Porellales; Lejeuneaceae.